Molecule: ribosomal RNA, 376 nt
Filed under: uncultured organism
Description: partial 16S ribosomal RNA
Rfam family: Bacterial small subunit ribosomal RNA
Source: RNAcentral
GUAGGUGGCAAGCGUUGUCCGGGAAUUAUUGGGGCGUAAAGCGCGCGCAGGCGGUUCUUUAAGUCUGAUGUGAAAGCCCACGGGCUCAACCGUGGAGGGUCAUUGGAAACUGGAGAACUUGAGUACAGAAGAGGAAAGCGGAAUUCCACGUGUAGCGGUGAAAUGCGUAGAGAUGUGGAGGAACACCAGUGGCGAAGGCGGCUUUCUGGUCUGUAACUGACGCUGAGGCGCGAAAGCGUGGGGAGCAAACAGGAUUAGAUACCCUGGUAGUCCACGCCGUAAACGAUGAGUGCUAAGUGUUAAGGGGUUUCCGCCCCUUAGUGCUGCAGCUAACGCAUUAAGCACUCCGCCUGGGGAGUACGGCCGCAAAGGCUGA